Molecule: ribosomal RNA, 564 nt
Filed under: uncultured bacterium
Lineage: Bacteria
Description: bacterial SSU rRNA
Rfam family: Bacterial small subunit ribosomal RNA
Source: RNAcentral
CCUACGGGAGGCAGCAGUGGGGAAUCUUGCGCAAUGGGCGAAAGCCUGACGCAGCAACGCCGCGUGCGGGAAGAAGGCCCUAGGGUUGUAAACCGCUUUCAGUAGGAACGAAAAUGACGGUACCUGCAGAAGAAGGUGCGGCCAACUACGUGCCAGCAGCCGCGGUGACACGUAGGCACCAAGCGUUGUCCGGAUUUAUUGGGCGUAAAGAGCUCGUAGGCGGUUCAGUAAGUCGGGUGUGAAAACUCUGGGCUUAACCCAGAGCCGCCACUCGAUACUGCUGUGACUUGAGUUCGGUAGGGGAGCAGGGAAUUCCUAGUGUAGCGGUGAAAUGCGCAGAUAUUAGGAGGAACACCGGUGGCGAAGGCGCUGCUCUGGGCCGAUACUGACGCUGAGGAGCGAAAGCGUGGGUAGCAAACAGGAUUAGAUACCCUGGUAGUCCACGCCGUAAACGUUGGGCACUAGGUGUGGGUUCCAACCAACGGAAUCCGCGCCGUCGCUAACGCAUUAAGUGCCCCGCCUGGGGAGUACGGCGGCAACGCUAAAACUCAAAGGAAUUGACGG